GGAGGGAUCAUUUAUUCGACACAUAUCGGACCAAACUUUGUUUGAAGUGUGUCACCACAGCUUGCUGUGGCAUGGGUUGUAAUAGUUCAUUCCCUUUCCCGGCUAUUACUUAUCCCACCGAGAGGUGAAAGGAAGGUUAUCAGUAAUCGGAUUCAUACUUCGGUAUGAAGUGAUAACCCGCCCUUUGGGUGUGUUGUAAUAGAAGUACUUUCCCUUCUAUUGCUUAUACAACCGAUAGGAUAGAUGCUUUGCGAUGGAUGACUAGGGUCUUGUAUCGAUGAAGAACGCAGUUAAACGUGACAUUUAAUGUGACUUGCAACUCCCGUGAAUCAUCGAGAUUUUGAACACAUACGGAACUCUUGCUGCUUUCGAGUAGCAAGGGUACUUGCUUGUGAGUGUCAGUUACCAUUCAUAUUAGCUCUGAGCGAUAAUCUGCCCUAACACCACCAUGUUAGAAACGAUUGCUCUCAGCUAUCUUCAGUCUUAGGAUUGAACACGGUGGGCAUGAAGGCUUUGCCAGAUUGCAAUUAAUUAACUAUCUGACCUCAUUUGUGAGUGGUUACCCACUGAAUUUAAGCAUAUUAGUAAGUGGAGGAAAAGAAAUCAAAAGAGAUUCUCCUAGUAGCGGCGAGCGAAAAGAGAAAAGCCCAUCCCUGAAUCCGGACAAUUGUCUGGAGUUGUAGGGUAAGAGUUGGUUGCCUGGGAGUAAGUGAGAAGAAAGUCUGUGCUUGGAAUGGCACGUCUCUUCGGAGGGCGAGACAGGGUGAUAGCCCCGUCACUUCUCAUAAGCUUUCAAUCGGUAGCCUUCUCAUGAGUAGGAUUCUUUGAAAGUAGAAUCUGAAUAUAGGAGAUGAACUUCUUCUAAGGCUAAAUAUUAAUACAAGACACCGAUAGCAAACAAGUACCGAGAGGGAAAGUUGAAAAGAUUUCUGGUAAGAAGCUGAAAAACGUCUGAAAUCGCUGAGCAAAAAGCGGAACCAACACGUCCUAGGAUUGUGGCCUUGUACAGUGCGGAUUUAUCUGUAUGUACUCAAGGGUCACUCGACCAACGCCAUGUCUUCUUGGCACGGUAAAAAAGCAGGCUUUGCGGUCUGAAGACUCCUGGCGAUCUACCUGCAACACCGAGGUCAGACGUUUGCCUUCGGGUAAACUGACGGCUAAGGUUAGUGGGUGAUCGCCAGUAGUUCGAAAGCUAUGGCCUCUGCAAUCGUUGGUAAAGGACAUUGGGUCCG
RNAcentral lists this unclassified non-coding RNA (1232 nucleotides) under uncultured soil eukaryote. RNAcentral's name for it is "sequence contains 18S rRNA gene, ITS1, 5.8S rRNA gene, ITS2, 28S rRNA gene". The stretch from base 541 to 1232 matches the Rfam family "Eukaryotic large subunit ribosomal RNA", at positions 1 to 646 of the family's 3401-position model. The record is from RNAcentral.